AGAGUUUGAUCCUGGCUCAGGAUGAACGCUGGCGGCGUGCCUAACACAUGCAAGUCGAACGGGAAACCUUUUAUUGAAGCUUCGGCAGAUUUAGAUUGUUUCUAGUGGCGGACGGGUGAGUAACGCGUGGGUAACCUGCCUUAUACAGGGGGAUAACAGUCAGAAAUGACUGCUAAUACCGCAUAAGCGCACAGAGCUGCAUGGCUCGGUGUGAAAAACUCCGGUGGUAUAAGAUGGACCCGCGUUGGAUUAGCUAGUUGGUGAGGUAACGGCCCACCAAGGCGACGAUCCAUAGCCGGCCUGAGAGGGUGAACGGCCACAUUGGGACUGAGACACGGCCCAGACUCCUACGGGAGGCAGCAGUGGGGAAUAUUGCACAAUGGGGGAAACCCUGAUGCAGCGACGCCGCGUGAAGGAAGAAGUAUCUCGGUAUGUAAACUUCUAUCAGCAGGGAAGAAAAUGACGGUACCUGACUAAGAAGCCCCGGCUAACUACGUGCCAGCAGCCGCGGUAAUACGUAGGGGGCAAGCGUUAUCCGGAUUUACUGGGUGUAAAGGGAGCGUAGACGGAUGGACAAGUCUGAUGUGAAAGACUGGGGCUCAACCCCGGGACUGCAUUGGAAACUGCCCGUCUUGAGUGCCGGAGAGGUAAGCGGAAUUCCUAGUGUAGCGGUGAAAUGCGUAGAUAUUAGGAAGAACACCAGUGGCGAAGGCGGCUUGCUGGACAGUAACUGACGUUCAGGCUCGAAAGCGUGGGGAGCAAACAGGAUUAGUUACCCUGGUAGUCCACGCCGUAAACGAU
This 801-nucleotide ribosomal RNA is filed under the name uncultured bacterium. RNAcentral's name for it is "bacterial SSU rRNA". It matches the Rfam family "Bacterial small subunit ribosomal RNA", at positions 8 to 810 of the family's 1533-position model. The record is from RNAcentral.